Molecule: long non-coding RNA, 399 nt
Filed under: Gossypium barbadense (sea-island cotton)
Lineage: Eukaryota; Viridiplantae; Streptophyta; Magnoliopsida; Malvales; Malvaceae
Description: long non-coding RNA (GBAR_LNC016231)
Source: RNAcentral
AGCAAAACCAAGCAUGGCAACACGUCCCACAAAGAGCUCAUUUUGCUUGGUAAAACCAAUCCCUCCAGAGGUGCCAAAGAUCCCAUCUUCAACCUUUGGCUUUGGCUCAACCUUUUUAAAUUACAACAAGAAGAAUAUAAACACAAUUAAAAAAAAAAAGAGUAAAGUUAAAUCCCCACUAAAAAUAUACUAAAUGACAACCUAUCUAGAGAACAAAUUUGAAAUACAAUACCCUCUUGGGAGCUGCUUUGGUCUUUGAUUUAAAGACAGCUAAAGUGGUGAAAGCUUUGGGUGAAGUAUGGACACCAUUAGACAAUGGAUUGAAGAAGAGAUGAGAGGCAGGUUUAGGCUUGAGUCCUUGAGCUUGGAAAUGGAGUAAAGGGUGAUCUCUCUUCAAGC